RNAcentral lists this transfer RNA (73 nucleotides) under Ictidomys tridecemlineatus (thirteen-lined ground squirrel). Its description in RNAcentral is "tRNA-Gly (ACC) (tRNA-Gly-ACC-2-1)". It matches the Rfam family "tRNA". Rfam says of the family: Transfer RNA (tRNA) molecules are approximately 80 nucleotides in length. Their secondary structure includes four short double-helical elements and three loops (D, anti-codon, and T loops). Further hydrogen bonds mediate the characteristic L-shaped molecular structure. tRNAs have two regions of fundamental functional importance: the anti-codon, which is responsible for specific mRNA codon recognition, and the 3' end, to which the tRNAs corresponding amino acid is attached (by aminoacyl-tRNA synthetases). tRNAs cope with the degeneracy of the genetic code in two manners: having more than one tRNA (with a specific anti-codon) for a particular amino acid; and 'wobble' base-pairing, i.e. permitting non-standard base-pairing at the 3rd anti-codon position. Lineage: Eukaryota; Metazoa; Chordata; Mammalia; Rodentia; Sciuridae. The record is from RNAcentral.
UGGGGUUGUGGCUCAGUGGUAGAGUGCUCGCCUACCAUGUGAGAGGCACUGGGUUUGAUCCUCAGCACCUCAU